This 1611-nucleotide long non-coding RNA is filed under the name Pan troglodytes (chimpanzee). RNAcentral's name for it is "long non-coding RNA NONPTRT017422". The record is from RNAcentral. Lineage: Eukaryota; Metazoa; Chordata; Mammalia; Primates; Hominidae.
CGUUCACAUAGUAUAGUGGGGGAUAGAGAAAACUGUGUGCGAGGUUUGAGGAGAUUCAGAGAAGGCUUUAUGGAGGAAUUUUCAUCUGAAUUGACGUUUGAAAGUGAGUAGGAAUUAGUUGGUGAGGUUAGAGGAUAAGGCAUUCUGGGCACAAGAAAGCAGUGAGGACAAAUAGAUAGGUUAGAAAUGGGACAUAGACCCUUAAUGUGUUAAGAUAGAGAAUAGAGAGAUGAACUUUAAAAAGUAAACAAGGGGUAAAUAAUGAAAGUUCUCUUCCACACCAUGUUAGCCAUUUUGAGCUUUAAUCUGGAGGCUAUGUUGAUCCAUGAGUAAUAGAUUUUAAGUGGAAGAAAGUUAACAUCAGUUUCAUGAGGCAAUGUGAGGAAUGAAUUGUAGUGGGGUAAGGCAGACAUUUGCAUUACAUGUGACAGAACUCUGAAAAUGCAGUGCUGCUGGAGAGAAGAGGAUGAAUUCCAGAUAUAUUAAGGUGAUUGAGUUAGUGGCCAGAUGGAUGUAGGGGAUGAAGGAGUGAUGGAGUCAAGGAUACCUCCUAGGUUUAUGACUUGCCGAGAUAGGAAUCACAUGAGCAAUAUCAGAUGUAUGGGGAGAAUAAGAUCAGUAGUCUUGCACAUGGGUUUAGGUCACACAAUUGGUGCUGUUCAGUGGGUAUUUGGCUGCUUUGGCCUGGAGUUAAAGAGAGGAUUCUAGCCUGGAGAUAGAGAUUAGGAUGCUAUCAAUUUAUAGGUAGUUAAAACAAUGUGAGAGUGGAUGAUGCCUAAGAGGGUUUGUAGAAUAAGAAAGAAUAAAGCAGAAGGGAAACACUGGGAAACACCACCCUGUAGGAAAGAUGACCCAGUGAAAAAGACAGAAGGAACAGCCUAAUGACAGUGGAUGUCUAGAAGAUAAGGAGGGAGAGAAUCCAACAAGAAGAGACUGGUCAGAUGCCAUAGGGAAUAGGAGAAAGAGCUAACUACAGUUUUUGGAAGGUUUCCCAGAUAGGCCAGGAUCAUUAAUUUGUAAUAAUACUAGUUCAUAUGAUUCUGUGACUUUUGGCAGCAAAAUUCACUAGAACCAGAGAUGAUAAAUAGUUGGAUUGAUACAGUAUUUGGAUUUUGUUACGUGCGUAUGGUAAGAUUGCAAAGGAGUUGAAACUAUUGGUGAAAGAAUGGUCAGAGUGAUGGAAUGUGAAGUUUAGACUGGAUAGGGAUGACGAUAGAGCCAGGAGGAGCUGAAAGAUUGAGAUAACACAAUUGGUUCAAAGGAUUAAAAGUCUGGAUGAAGUAAAUAUACAAGUGUUUGUAGCUAAAAGGGAGAUAAUGAAAAGGCUAGAAAUCCUCUGGUCAGAGUAGAAUAUUGGAAUUUAAGAUUUUUAGGGUGCAGAUGGCAUGUAGGGUUUGGCUGUGGAUAUAGAUGGUAGAAACGGAGGUGUUCAGGAACAAUGAGACUGGUGGUGUAUUCGAUGAAUUGCUCACCCAGAUGACUAUAGAUGACUGUGGUACCCAGGGAGGAAGGGUAGAAUGUGAUCCUAAUUUCUGAGGUUUAGAUUGCCUAUGGUGGUGAUCACUGUAGAUGAGAGAUGAAGAUACUUAGAUGUUAUGCCCUCAAAAGUAC